UUGUCUGCGAGCCAGAUGUGACCAUCAAAAGAGCCAGAUAUGGCUCGCGAGCCAUGGGUUCCUGACCCCUAAUGUAACAGAAAUGUAAUACUCAUUGAUUACAGUUUCUCUUUCUCUCUCUCUCUCUUUCAUCCUAAUAAUACUGCUGUUUUGCAGUCCACAUGUUAUUUCUGAGUAUUUCUUCAUUCAAAGCUUUGUAAAUCAAAAGUAGAUCAAAAACUGCCUUUAGAAAAAGAUAAUAUUUGUGACAUAUCCAUAGAAAUCCAUUCUGAUGCAUCCACUUAGAGAUGACUAGAUUCGUGCACAUCUGCAUUUUGCUCGUCUGAGCUGGAAUCUGGAUCAACACUGUAAAGCUGGGCAGCUCAGAUAUAUCUUCCACUUUUGUUGCACUAGUAACGUUAGGUUGGGAUCUGAGGGGUUGUAAGCUAGAGGGAGAGAAUGUAAACAGAGAGCUCUCGGCAACAGGGUGGGGAAGAGUGGCAGAAACUAUGUCCUAGAAAGCGACGCAGGUGUUUUAUUUUGACUUAAUUUUGCAUAAUUACAAUUAAAAGACCACUGAGAUUGAUUUAAAAUGGAACAUUGAAAGGUGACAAAUUAGCUUAAUGUUUAAUGAAGAAAAUUACAUAGAAAAUAAAACAGCGGAUUCUCCGUUUAAUCUUUUUUAUUAUACACUUCUAUCACUUUCUAUAACUUCAGCAGCCACUGAAACAGCUGCAAAGUUUGCAUCAAACUCUUCGGUCGCUAUUCUUAGAUAUCUGUCAUGGUGCCUCUGUCAGACUCCACCCCCUCUCCUCUCUGCUUGGUUCCCUGAUUCAGCCCAGCUGCCACCACUCAACUCAUCACCACCUACCUACUUAAGGAGCUCCUGGACCUGUAUUCAUCGCCAGUCCGUUGCCCCUGAUGGAAACCCCAAACCACGGGUGGUCGCCUGAAUCCGUCGCUAUCUGGAACCCUCACUCAGUCUGCUUCACCGGUCUCACCACGAGCCUCUGCCGAUCAUCCAACUCCACAGGUCUCCGCCGACGCUGCCCUACGAAGGGAUCCACCAGUGACGCCACAAAAUCCAGUCUCUCGUUGGGACCACACAGAAACUGCUCACUCCUUAACUGUGCUGGCAAUUAAAUCUUCUUACUCACCUCA
Molecule: non-coding RNA, 1140 nt
Organism: Oryzias latipes (Japanese medaka)
Lineage: Eukaryota; Metazoa; Chordata; Actinopteri; Beloniformes; Adrianichthyidae
Source: RefSeq, a predicted model, not a curated record